CUUAGAUGCUUCAGAAAGGGCUUUGAAAAAUUAGAAAAAUUGCGCUAUUCUUUGUGGAGCUAUCUUCAUCUUUCCACCGCUUUCCUUUAUCUUCGUCUGUGAAUUUCUUGUUCAUCUCUCUCGCGCGCUCUCUCUGACAUAUAUAAAGGGUUUUCUGAUGGCAUAGUGGUGGAUAACCUGAAUGGACUCCAAUGCUUUUCACAUUAGAGAGCCCCUUGGAAGAAGAAAAUCCGGUUAUGUAUAAAAUACAAUGAUAAAUAGUAUAUAAUAGAUGAUUAAACUUAUAAUUAGUUUAGCUACUCAUCUAAUCAUGCUUUGGUAAUUCAAGAUAUUAUUCAUCUGUUCUUGUUUAAUGGAGAUGCCACGCCAUUCUUAUUGCAGGUACAUUUUAGAAAGAAAACUAUUUAUCCUUUUCUUCUUUGAAGUUUAGAUUUAUUGGUGAGUUUGAAGUUUGUGUGGAGGUAGUUCAGUAUUUACAGGAGACGGUACAGAAGUAUAAGGCAUUCUAUCAACCUUGGGGAGCUUGGAGCCUAUAAAAUUUGUGUCAUGGCUUGGCGGAAAUAAUCAAGCAUUUCAGUGCAAUUCUUCAAGGGGAGUUCACGAUAGGAAGCGACACAUUUAGCAUUCAGAGUACUUACUCUUAAGGGUGAGUAAAUUACAUUAAUUUUAGAGUUUGCAGAAUUAAAUAAAGUGGGUGGCCUCUAUAUAUCUGGCAAGUUUAUUAGUUGUAUACUUAAGGCAUUUGCUUGCUUUUCUUUUGUUAGUCAUUGCAUAUGUUGCUUUGAUGUUUUAAAGGCUAUAGUUCUAAGGUAGUGUUCUGUCAUAGAAUGAGGUUGCAUGAAGAAAUGUGGUAAUAUCUUGAGUCCCUUAUGUAUGCCUUUUUUGUUAUGUUAAAGCUUCUGUAUUUCUCAUUUUAUCAGUAAUUUGGUAUUUUUAACAAUUGUCAUGACUGCUUUAUAUAAUGUUAAACCAGCAGGUUGAGUAUCAUACUGUGAAAUCAAAGCUUUCUUUGUUUAUUUCUUGGGGCCUGGGAGAAUUGUGAAUCAAUUCUUAACUCAUGGGUCUGGCUCACUUUUCUUAAUAAACAGGCAGCUUUAUAUUAAUAUUAGAGUACCAAAAUAUCACUACAUACUGGAGAGUAAAAUACAACAGCUUGAGAAAAUAUUAGAAAGAAAAAUAGUUCGAAAAUAAGAAAUGAAUUAGACAAAUCUGCUGCAGAAUUUAUUCAUCUAUAAAGGAUCCUCUGUCAAAAAAUAAAAGGGAAAAGUGAAAUGGUUAACAGCUGAAAACUCUAACACACUUUCCUUUUUAUCAUGUUUUGGUAGGUAUUGCAAAUCAUGUUUAGCAUACCUUUUUUUAGGUAAAAAGUUCUGAUACUUUACCGUGAAAAUUGUCUCAUUGUGGGAUGCAAAAUCUCAUUUUCCAAUGACUUCAGAGCAGAAGUAUCGUUAUUCCUUUAGAUUCACUUUUCUAUUUUUUUAUAAUUUUCUCUAUGUACUUUUGCCACAUGAAGCUUGCAACCAUAUCUAUAGCCUUAUAAUGCCACCACAUUGAUAGAAGCUGCAUCAAAUGUGUUUUUCCGCAAGUUCAUCUAGACUUGCAGAAAUGAAAACAAGAUCCAUAGGUCCUUACUAUUUUUUUUUCUUUCUAAACUUUAUGGUAGUAGGAUUGUCCAUAUUGUAUACAAGUUAAUCCAAAUAAAUUUACCUAGGGGCUUACAGUGUCCUUGAUAGUCCAUAUUAGAUGAUUUAGUUGAAAUACCAUCCAGAACAUUUGAAAGCUUUUCUGCCUUUUUUGAAGAUCUGGAAUUACCCGAUUAAGAUCCUUUUAAGAAAACAAAAGAAGGAAAUGUAAAAUUAAGAUGGCGACCUUAGGAAAAACUGAGAAAGUAAGGAGACUAUACUUGAGAUUCUAUAUAUAGAUCAAUAGAAAUUAAAUGAAAAGAAGUAGUAGCAAUACAUAUUCUCCAAGCUUAGAUGUAAAUUGCUUACGAUCUUCAACAAUUCUCUAGGGGAAGUGAGUUUGAACUUAUUUUAGUGAGAAUAACAACACAAUUUGAGCCUUAAGAAGGUCAAUAAAAUUCCGAUAAAUCCCUUCAAAUUCUGCUUAUGAAGUUGAGAACAUUGAAAGACUAGUGAUUGUGAAGCUAAGAACCUCAACUAUAUGGCGACUGUUUAUCUUUGUUGUAGUUUGAGUUUGUUAUAUGGUUAAGCACUUUAGUGUAGCUCCUCUGUUAAUUAUGAGAAAGUGUGCUGUUUUUUUCACCACGAGAAAGUAUUAUUGUAAAGGAAAAAUGCUGGCAAAACUAAAGGAUUUAUAAUGCUCUUUAGGUACGUUUAUAACAUAGAAUAUAACUGUUUCUAUUCUGCUGCCCACAUAGAGUUGAGCUUACAUAUUAUAUCGAGCGUUGCCAUUCUAAAUCAAACAUGUAUGCGAUGAUAUAUGAAUUUUAUACUUUUGCUCGAUAAAUAUCUCAGUUGAAGACUAUUAUAUUUCAUCUCCUCGACAUAAUUAUUUUGUAA
Nicotiana tabacum (common tobacco) is the source of this 2522-nucleotide long non-coding RNA. RefSeq lists it as uncharacterized. The record is from RefSeq and is a predicted model, not a curated record. Lineage: Eukaryota; Viridiplantae; Streptophyta; Magnoliopsida; Solanales; Solanaceae.